CCCUAUACAAGAAGAUUUUUGUGGUCAAAUAGNUGAGAAGUACUGUCCAGUAAAGUAAACUUUAAAACUAAACACUGAGAAUUUCCAAUACGCCAGUACAACGUCAACCUCUCUGCCUGGUUCAAGGUGUUGUAAAAUAACUACAAUUGAGAUAAAUUAUGAUUAAAGAUAAAUAUGUGCAUAUGCAUGAAAGGUUUGGCUUAGGUAUUUUGAAAAUUUUGAAUCAGUGAGAAGCAUGUCAACCUGGUAAUAGGGAAGUUGUGUAUUUAAAUUUAUGACUUUCAAUAGAGAUAAAACCAUGUCAAAGAAUUAAAUCAGACACAGAUAUAGACUAAGGAGUACUAAAAAAAGCUAAGGUAUGAAGAAGUUAAAAAUAAUAAGUACUAGUUUCGAAAGGUUGGCAAAAAUCCCGUUGAUAACCCUCCAGCGUUCCCAUUUCCAGGAUAGCAUAAAAACAGAAGCAAAACAAUCAUGUUAGGAAUAACGACCCUCCAAGAAUAUCUAAUACCCACAAGAAUUUGAUGCAAACCACAAACAAUCAAGGAUAUUUAACGAAUUCUUAUUUGACGAAUAAU
This is a non-coding RNA of Cucurbita pepo subsp. pepo (vegetable marrow), 575 nucleotides long. The record is from RefSeq and is a predicted model, not a curated record. Lineage: Eukaryota; Viridiplantae; Streptophyta; Magnoliopsida; Cucurbitales; Cucurbitaceae.